GAUCCUGGCUCAGGACGAACGCUGGCGGCGCGCCUAACACAUGCAAGUCGAACGAGCGAGAGAAAGCUUGCUUUCUCAAGCGAGUGGCGAACGGGUGAGUAACGCGUGAGGAACCUGCCUCAAAGAGGGGGACAACAGUUGGAAACGACUGCUAAUACCGCAUAAGCCCACGGCUCGGCAUCGAGCAGAGGGAAAAGGAGCAAUCCGCUUUGAGAUGGCCUCGCGUCCGAUUAGCUAGG
Molecule: ribosomal RNA, 239 nt
Filed under: uncultured bacterium
Lineage: Bacteria
Description: partial 16S ribosomal RNA
Rfam family: Bacterial small subunit ribosomal RNA
Source: RNAcentral